GUGAGGAAUAUUGCGCAAUGGAGGCAACUCUGACGCAGUCAUGCCGCGUGCAGGAAGAAGGCGCUACGCGUUGUAAACUGCUUUUAACCGGGAAGAAACCCCAGGACGUGUCCUGGGUUGACGGUACCGGAGGAAUAAGCACCGGCUAACUUCGUGCCAGCAGCCGCGGUAAUACGAAGGGUGCAAGCGUUAUCCGGAUUCAUUGGGUUUAAAGGGUGCGUAGGCGGAGCGUUAAGUCAGUGGUGAAAUCCUGCAGCUUAACUGUAGACUUGCCAUUGAUACUGGCGCUCUUGAGUGCGCUUGAAGUGGGCGGAAUGUGCCGUGUAGCGGUGAAAUGCUUAGAUAUGGCUCAGAACACCAAUUGCGAAGGCAGCUCACUAAGGCGAUACUGACGCUGAGGCACGAAAGCGUGGGGAUCGAACAGGAUUAGAAACCCCAGUAGUCC
RNAcentral lists this ribosomal RNA (445 nucleotides) under uncultured bacterium. Its description in RNAcentral is "partial 16S ribosomal RNA". It matches the Rfam family "Bacterial small subunit ribosomal RNA", at positions 354 to 796 of the family's 1533-position model. The record is from RNAcentral.